RNAcentral lists this ribosomal RNA (253 nucleotides) under uncultured bacterium. RNAcentral's name for it is "partial 16S ribosomal RNA". It matches the Rfam family "Bacterial small subunit ribosomal RNA", at positions 524 to 776 of the family's 1533-position model. The record is from RNAcentral.
UACGGAGGGUGCAAGCGUUGUUCGGAAUCACUGGGCGUAAAGCGCGUGUAGGCGGCUAUCUAAGUCUGAUGUGAAAGCCCUGGGCUCAACUCAGGAAGUGCAUUGGAUACUGGAUAGCUGGAGUACCGGAGAGGAGGGUGGAAUUCCUGGUGUAGCGGUGAAAUGCGUAGAUAUCGAGAGGAACACCUGCGGCGAAGGCGGGUUGCUGGGCUGACACUGACGCUGAGGCGCGAAAGCUAGGGGAGCGAACGGG